GCAUCGGGAGUCGGGGUCGGAGGGAAAACUGCUUGUUUUGUGAUUCAGGGAAGCUUUGAAUCAGGAAAACUGUUUCCUUAUAUUCCUUAACAAUUUUGAAGCAAUACUUUCUCUGUUAAGCAGUUUCUAAGGGGUAAGAAGUGGUGCCAACGACAGUCCCUGGUAUUCAGUGUUCAAAGAAUCAAGCUUCACAUACUUCCCUACAUUUGUAUUUGAUUCCAAGUAACAUACGAGUAAUCGUGCAGUUCGAUAUCGGGCCCUGUUCGCAGUGGGAAUUGCGUUCAUGGGCUCGCAACUUGAAGAUGAUGGUGUUUAAGUGAUAUGUAUCCGUUGUGAAUUUGAUGAAUUCACAACAAGGAACUUGACACAUUUCUACCUGCAGCGUGUGUCAGUCGGUCGUGGACAUAUCCCCACUCAGGGGGGUGUCGGGUGGAAUCGAGUGCGUGUUGGGCUGCAGUGGUAGAUAGGCAUUGGAAUGAGCGCUGUGGGAAGUGAAUAUGGAGGGGGGAGUGUGUUGAAUCGAUUCCUACAUUUGACAAUGUCCUGCUUCUUGCAAAGCAAUUUUGGUCUUACAUUGCUAAGAAAUCGGGUGAGUUUAAAGAUUAGAACCAGAGUGAUGAGGGUGUGAUUACUGCGGAUCGAAGUUUGUAUAUGGUGUGGAUUAGAAGCACGAUGGAGGGUGGUGUGCGAUGUGGUGCAGCUAAGUGGGAUGGUUGCGGUGAUGGUGGGUGAACGAUGGAUCCACGGUACCCUUUCAUCGUAAAUGGGCCCCACAAGGAGCAGUCAAGAUUUUUUUGAGCAUUGACAGCAAAUUUCCUGCUGUUCGUCAACUCGCAAUUGAAGUGAGCAGUUGAUGGAGAGGUGCACGCAUUUAUGCGGGAAUUGUCAAUUGAAUGAAGUUGCAGACACGAUGAUGCAUUCGUACUGAAAAAUAGUGAUACGACGAGACGUCGGAUUCAACGUGGAGAUGAUAUCCUUACGUAGUUAUGCUAAUGUUGACAGGAAUGCAGUUUGUGUCGGCUGGAUGUUGUUGAUAUGGAGAAAGUGGAUGGAGGAUCGGUGACCAAGCUAGCAGAUGUUGAUGCGGGGUGGUGGCUGCUGGUGAUGUGUCUUACAUUGCGACUUGCAGUGGGAGGGUAUUUCCAUCGCGGCAGCUUGCAGUUGUUUCACGAGUAGAUGAUUGCAUUUGUAAGUGAUUGUGCUUGUUCCACGGAAUGUGUUGUCCGUGCUCUUCAUCUGAAAUGCUCGAAGGAGACGUUUGCAUACAACGCUGGCAAGAGUGAUGGGUAAUGGAAGGUUGGGAGUAAUGCGUGGUGAAGUAGGGCGUGACGAAGAUCUGUGAUAACAGCGAGCUAGUGUUCCCGUGUGGUAGUUUGAAGAUGGAUCGUAGUCUGGGCGAUUGCAGUUUUGGUAACCAGAUGUGGGAAGCGCAUGGUUUUGGUGUAGGUGAGUGGAGAAGAUCAUGAGGCAGUGAAGAGGUGCUAGAAGGUAUUGUUGUGAAGGCUGAGAAUACCUUGAGAAUUUAAUGGAAGCUGGAAAUGAGAUGCAUGAAACCACUUGGAUAUGGUUCUUCUUCUUUAUAUAAAACUGAUGAAAGUGUCACAUUGUUUGA
Long non-coding RNA from Physcomitrium patens, 1612 nucleotides. RefSeq lists it as uncharacterized. The record is from RefSeq and is a predicted model, not a curated record. NCBI's taxonomy places the organism in Eukaryota, Viridiplantae, Streptophyta, Bryopsida, Funariales, Funariaceae.